AUAUAGUGGAGGUUAACAUUGAGACAGGUGGUGCAUGGUUGUCGUCAGUUCGUGCCGUGAGGUGUUGGGUUAAGUCCCGCAACGAACGCAACCCUUGUCGUUAGUUACUAACAUUAAGUUGAGGACUCUAACGAGACUGCUAGUGUAAGCUAGAGGAAGGUGGGGAUGACGUCAAAUCAUCAUGCCCCUUAUGUCCUGGGCUACACACGUGCUACAAUGGCUGGUACAAAGAGUCGCAAUCUCGCGAGGGGGAGCUAAUCUCAAAAAGCCAGUCUCAGUUCGGAUUGAAGUCUGCAACUCGACUUCAUGAAGCCGGAAUCACUAGUAAUCGCGAAUCAGCUAUGUCGCGGUGAAUACGUUCUCGGGUCUUGUACACACCGCCCGACACACCACGAGAGUUGGUAAUACCAGAAGUGGGUAGCUUAACCGCAAGGAGAG
Molecule: ribosomal RNA, 438 nt
Filed under: Listeria monocytogenes
Lineage: Bacteria; Bacillati; Bacillota; Bacilli; Caryophanales; Listeriaceae
Description: bacterial SSU rRNA
Rfam family: Bacterial small subunit ribosomal RNA
Source: RNAcentral